AAAAUCAUGAGGUCUGCGGGCCAAAACGGAUAAUAUCUCAUAAGGGGUUGGUGUGAAUCAUGACAAUUAGUAUUAGAGCGGAUUAUGAGUACUAACAAUGUGCCACUGAGGACAGUGGACCCUUGUUGAAGUAAGAAAGGAUGUCACGAUCCUCGCGUGGAUGCGAAUCCUAUAUCAUAGAUACAAUGCUCCCAAGUGAGCCAUAAAGUCUCACAUCGAAUUGAAACUCCCAACGAGGAGUAAGGGUGGAUGUCAUGGUCUUAGAGAGAGGAGCUAUGAAUCCCACAUUGGCUACGUAUAAAAAUGAUAUUGGAAAUAUAAGGGUUUACCCUACCUUUAACUUGUGAGGUGCCUUUUGUGGUAUAAAACCGUGAAGCUAGCGGGCCAAAGCGAACAAUACCUCACAAGGGUUGGUGUGGACUGAGACAAUUGGUAUCAGAGCGAACUUUAGGUACUAGCAAUGUACCACUGAGGACAGUGAACCCUUGUUAAAGUAAAAAAGGAUAUCAUAGUCCUUAUGUGGAUGUGAAUUUGACAUCAUAAAGAUAAUGCUCUUAGCGUGUGAGCUAGAAAGUCUCAUAUUGAAGAGAAAUUUUCAGCAAAAAGUAAGAGUGGAUGUCAUGGUCUUAGAGAGGGAAGCCAUGAAUCCCACAUUGACUAUGUAUUAAAAUGAUACUUCGAAUAUAAAGGUUCACACUAUAUUUAACCUAUG
RNAcentral lists this long non-coding RNA (712 nucleotides) under Theobroma cacao (cacao). Its description in RNAcentral is "long non-coding RNA (TCAC_LNC004466)". Lineage: Eukaryota; Viridiplantae; Streptophyta; Magnoliopsida; Malvales; Malvaceae. The record is from RNAcentral.